AACGAACGCUGGCGGCAUGCCUAACACAUGCAAGUCGAACGAGACCUUCGGGUCUAGUGGCGCACGGGUGCGUAACGCGUGGGAACCUGCCCUUAGGUUCGGAAUAACUCCCCGAAAGGGGUGCUAAUACCGGAUAAUGUCUUCGGACCAAAGAUUUAUCGCCUUUGGAUGGGCCCGCGUUGGAUUAGCUAGUUGGUAGGGUAAAAGCCUACCAAGGCGACGAUCCAUAGCUGGUCUGAGAGGAUGAUCAGCCACACUGGGACUGAGACACGGCCCAGACUCCUACGGGAGGCAGCAGUGGGGAAUAUUGGACAAUGGGCGAAAGCCGGAUCCAGCAAUGCCGCGGGAGUGAUGAAGGCCUUAGGGUGGUAAAGCUCUUUUACCCGGGAUGAUAAUGACAGUACCGGGAGAAUAAGCUCCGGCGAACUCCGG
Molecule: ribosomal RNA, 432 nt
Filed under: uncultured bacterium
Lineage: Bacteria
Description: partial 16S ribosomal RNA
Rfam family: Bacterial small subunit ribosomal RNA
Source: RNAcentral